This 467-nucleotide ribosomal RNA is filed under the name uncultured bacterium. RNAcentral's name for it is "partial 16S ribosomal RNA". It matches the Rfam family "Bacterial small subunit ribosomal RNA", at positions 28 to 506 of the family's 1533-position model. The record is from RNAcentral.
GACGAACGCUGGCGGCGUGCUUAACACAUGCAAGUCGAACGGAGAGGCCCUGCUUUUGUGGGGUGCUCGAGUGGCGAACGGGUGAGUAACACGUGAGUAACCUGCCCUUGACUUUGGGAUAACUUCAGGAAACUGGGGCUAAUACCGGAUAGGAGCUCCUGCUGCAUGGUGGGGGUUGGAAAGUUUCGGCGGUUGGGGAUGGACUCGCGGCUUAUCAGCUUGUUGGUGGGGUAGUGGCUUACCAAGGCUUUGACGGGUAGCCGGCCUGAGAGGGUGACCGGCCACAUUGGGACUGAGAUACGGCCCAGACUCCUACGGGAGGCAGCAGUGGGGAAUAUUGCACAAUGGGCGGAAGCCUGAUGCAGCAACGCCGCGUGCGGGAUGACGGCCUUCGGGUUGUAAACCGCUUUCGCCUGUGACGAAGCGUGAGUGACGGUAAUGGGGAAAGAAGCACCGGCUAACUACGU